GGAUGAACGCUAGCGGCAGGCUUAAUACAUGCAAGUCGAACGAAGUGGUAACACUUAGUGGCGCACGGGUGCAUAACACGUAUGCAACCUACCUAUCGUUGGGGGAUAACUUUGAGAAAUCAGGGCUAAUACCGCAUAAAACAGUUUUACUGCAUAGUAAUACUGUUAAAGUUCUGGCGACGAUAGAUGGGCAUGCGUCCGAUUAGGUAGUUGGCGAGGUAACGGCUCACCAAGCCGACGAUCGGUAGGGGAUCUGAGAGGAUAAUCCCCCACACUGGCACUGAGAUACGGGCCAGACUCCUACGGGAGGCAGCAGUAGGGAAUAUUGGGCAAUGGUCGCAAGACUGACCCAGCCAUGCCGCGUGCAGGAAGAAGGCGCUCAGCGUUGUAAACUGCUUUUAUCAAGGAAGAAAAAGUUCUUGCGAGAACAAUUGACGGUACUUGAAGAAUAAGCCACGGCUAACUACGUGCCAGCAGCCGCGGUAAUACGUAGGUGGCAAGCGUUGUCCGGAUUUAUUGGGUUUAAAGGGUGCGUAGGUGGCUUGGUAAGUCAGCGGUAAAAGACGGCAGCUUAACUGUUAGUGCGCCGUUGAUACUGCCAAGCUUGAGUAAAGUUGA
Molecule: ribosomal RNA, 618 nt
Filed under: uncultured bacterium
Lineage: Bacteria
Description: bacterial SSU rRNA
Rfam family: Bacterial small subunit ribosomal RNA
Source: RNAcentral